Molecule: ribosomal RNA, 434 nt
Filed under: uncultured bacterium
Lineage: Bacteria
Description: partial 16S ribosomal RNA
Rfam family: Bacterial small subunit ribosomal RNA
Source: RNAcentral
AACGAACGCUGGCGGCAGGCCUAACACAUGCAAGUCGAGCGAGGACUUCGGUCCUAGCGGCGGACGGGUGAGUAACGCGUGGGAACGUGCCCUUUGCUUCGGAAUAGCCCUGGGAAACUGGGAGUAAUACCGGAUGAGCCCUUUGGGGGAAAGAUUUAUCGGCGAAGGAUCGGCCCGCGUUGGAUUAGGUAGUUGGUGGGGUAAUGGCCUACCAAGCCGACGAUCCAUAGCUGGUUUGAGAGGAUGAUCAGCCACACUGGGACUGAGACACGGCCCAGACUCCUACGGGAGACAGCAGUGGGGAAUCUUAGACAAUGGGGGAAACCCUGAUCUAGCCAUGCCGCGUGAGCGAUGAAGGCCUUAGGGUUGUAAAGCUCUUUCAGCGGGGAAGAUAAUGACGGUACCAGCAGAAGAAGCCCCGGCUAACUCCGUGC